CCUACGGGAGGCAGCAGUGAGGAAUAUUGGUCAAUGGGCGCUAGCCUGAACCAGCCAAGUAGCGUGAAGGAUGACUGCCCUAUGGGUUGUAAACUUCUUUUAUAUGGGAAUAAAGAGCAGUAUGUAUACUGCUUUGCAUGUACCUUAUGAAUAAGGAUCGGCUAACUCAGUGCAAGCAGCCGCGGUAAUCCGGAGGAUCAUAGCGUUAUCAGUAUUUAUUGGGUUUAAAGGGAGUGUAGGUGGGGUGUUAAGUCAGUUGUGAAAGUUUGCGGCUCAACCGUAAAAUUGCAGUUGAUACUGGCAUCCUUGAGUACAGGAGAGGUAGGCGGAAUUCGUGGUGUAGCGGUGAAAUGCUUAGAUAUCACGAAGAACUCCGAUUGCGUAGGCAGCCUGCUGGACUGUAACUGACGCUGAUGCUCGAAAGUGUGGGUAUCAAACAGGAUUAGAUACCCCUGUAGUC
RNAcentral lists this ribosomal RNA (460 nucleotides) under uncultured bacterium. RNAcentral's name for it is "partial 16S ribosomal RNA". It matches the Rfam family "Bacterial small subunit ribosomal RNA", at positions 338 to 795 of the family's 1533-position model. The record is from RNAcentral.